UACGAAGGGGGCUAGCGUUGCUCGGAAUUAUUGGGCGUAAAGAGCUCGUAGGCGGUCUGUCGCGUCGGCUGUGAAAACCCGGGGCUCAACCCCGGGCCUGCAGUCGAUACGGGCAGACUAGAGUGCGGUAGGGGAGACUGGAAUUCCUGGUGUAGCGGUGAAAUGCGCAGAUAUCAGGAGGAACACCGGUGGCGAAGGCGGGUCUCUGGGCCGUAACUGACGCUGAGGAGCGAAAGCGUGGGGAGCGAACAGG
Molecule: ribosomal RNA, 253 nt
Filed under: uncultured bacterium
Lineage: Bacteria
Description: partial 16S ribosomal RNA
Rfam family: Bacterial small subunit ribosomal RNA
Source: RNAcentral